Molecule: ribosomal RNA, 335 nt
Filed under: uncultured Sandona
Lineage: Eukaryota; Cercozoa; Glissomonadida
Description: bacterial SSU rRNA
Rfam family: Eukaryotic small subunit ribosomal RNA (bases 122-335)
Source: RNAcentral
GAUUUCUGGUAUGAUGUAUCUGUCCCGCCACGGUUAACGUGUGUGAGUGACGGUAUAUGUCUGCCAUCCUUCUAGAGGAAAUAUAGUGUUGGCCUUUACUGGUUCGAUAUUAUAUAUUAAUCUAGAUCUUUUACUUUGAAAAAAUUAGAGUGUUUCAAGCAGGCUACAAUUGCUAUGAAUACAUUAGCAUGGAAUAAUAAGUUAGGACUUCGGUUCUAUUUUGUUGGUUUCUAGAGCUGAAGUAAUGAUUGAUAGGGAUAGUUGGGGGUGCUAGUAUUCAGCGGCCAGAGGUGAAAUUCUUGGAUUCGCUGAAGACUAACUUAUGCGAAAGCAUU